RNAcentral lists this ribosomal RNA (229 nucleotides) under uncultured bacterium. RNAcentral's name for it is "partial 16S ribosomal RNA". It matches the Rfam family "Bacterial small subunit ribosomal RNA", at positions 568 to 796 of the family's 1533-position model. The record is from RNAcentral.
UGCGUAGGCUGGCGAUUAAGUCAGUGGUGAAAUCCUACAGCUUAACUGUAGAACUGCCAUUGAUACUGGUUGCCUGGAGUUCAGUAGAAGUAUGCGGAAUGUGACAUGUAGCGGUGAAAUGCAUAGAUAUGUCAUAGAACACCAAUUGCGAAGGCAGCAUACUAGACUGAAACUGACGCUGAGGCACGAAAGCGUGGGGAGCGAACAGGAUCAGAUACCCUGGUAGUCC